RNAcentral lists this ribosomal RNA (490 nucleotides) under uncultured bacterium. Its description in RNAcentral is "partial 16S ribosomal RNA". It matches the Rfam family "Bacterial small subunit ribosomal RNA", at positions 30 to 507 of the family's 1533-position model. The record is from RNAcentral.
UGAACGCUGGCGGUAGGCCUAACACAUGCAAGUCGCACGGCAGCACAGUAAGAGCUUGCUCUUACGGGUGGCGAGUGGCGGACGGGUGAGGAAUACAUCGGAAUCUACUUUUUCGUGGGGGAUAACGUAGGGAAACUUACGCUAAUACCGCAUACGACCUACGGGUGAAAGCAGGGGAUCUUCGGACCUUGCGCGAUUGAAUGAGCCGAUGUCGGAUUAGCUAGUUGGCGGGGUAAAGGCCCACCAAGGCGACGAUCCGUAGCUGGUCUGAGAGGAUGAUCAGCCACACUGGAACUGAGACACGGUCCAGACUCCUACGGGAGGCAGCAGUGGGGAAUAUUGGACAAUGGGCGCAAGCCUGAUCCAGCCAUACCGCGUGGGUGAAGAGGGCCUUCGGGUUGUAAAGCCCUUUUGUUGGGAAAGAAAAGCAGCAGGUUAAUACCCCGCUGUUCUGACGGUACCCAAAGAAUAAGCACCGGCUAACUUCGUG